GGUCCGGGCGUCAGUUACCCACAGCCCGGGCCCGCGCCCCGCCCCCCGUCACCACGGCCACCAAACCCCUUCUGCCGCCUCGCGCUUCCCGAGAGCCAAUCGCAGGUCAUGAUCUCAGGAUCCUGCGAUUCAUCCUUGCGUGGGACUCCGCACUCAGCGUGGAGUCAGCUUGAGAUUCUCUCCAUAUCUCUCUGCCCCAAUCCCUUGUGCUCUCUCUAAAAUAAAUAUCUUUUUAAAAAGAUUAAA
Long non-coding RNA from Mirounga angustirostris (Northern elephant seal), 246 nucleotides. RefSeq lists it as uncharacterized. The record is from RefSeq and is a predicted model, not a curated record. The transcript has 2 exons. NCBI's taxonomy places the organism in Eukaryota, Metazoa, Chordata, Mammalia, Carnivora, Phocidae.